Molecule: long non-coding RNA, 702 nt
Organism: Syzygium oleosum
Lineage: Eukaryota; Viridiplantae; Streptophyta; Magnoliopsida; Myrtales; Myrtaceae
Exons: 2
Source: RefSeq, a predicted model, not a curated record
CCUCGUAACUUUAAUUGAAAUCAGAUUAAAAAGGAAAAAACCCCUGCUAGGGGGUUGAAGGUACUGGGGGCGGCACCGCUACCCCUUACUUCACCGGCGAGGGCUCACAACCCCUCGCUCACGACCCUAGGAUUCCCCAUCGACACCUCAUGGCAUUAUGCAGUAUUGGUAAAGGCGACACGCAGGUUUAAGUUGUGGACUGGCAACUUUGUUGAAGUUGUAGCCUUGCCUCCAGCCCUUCAUCGCGGCAUCGUAGUCGCGGCCCUCUCGGUCACCUUGAUCUCUGCUCUUCCUCUGGCCCUCCCUCGCAAUUGCAGCCUCGCCAAGUGCCUCCGGCCCUCCCUUGCAGUCGCGGCCUCACCUUUGGCCAACACUUUCGUGAUAAGGGAACUGUGGAUCUCAUUUUUGUUGAAUGCUGGUUCCCUGGCUCACUCGGGAACCGGACCGGUCGGUCAGAUUUGAAGACUAGGUGGGCCAAUUCCCGAUUCUACAAAUUAAAAUCCCACCUUUUUGGUUCGAUUUCCGGUUCCAGAGCGAGAGCACUCCUAAAAAUUAAUCCAACCGAGACAUUGGUUUCCGUAGUCUGUGCUGGAUCAGCAUCUGUAAGUGCGACGGACUUUCAGGGUAAUUGCUUUCUCAAUGGUGUCACCCAUUCUUCCGUUACCAAAAAGUCCACUCCCAAGUCCACGGAAAAUGAUUUCU